GGGAGGAGAUUGCUGGAACAAUUUUUCAGCACUUUGAACAGGAGGGCAACCGAGUCAUAUCAGUCGAGGAGUUGGCACAGGAACUAAAUCUUGCUCCGACUCAUUAUUCCAUCGUGCAAGAUUGGAU
This is a long non-coding RNA of Hordeum vulgare subsp. vulgare (domesticated barley), 127 nucleotides long. RefSeq lists it as uncharacterized. NCBI's taxonomy places the organism in Eukaryota, Viridiplantae, Streptophyta, Magnoliopsida, Poales, Poaceae. The transcript is spliced from 2 exons. The record is from RefSeq and is a predicted model, not a curated record.